CUUAAAGCCCCUUGCUUACACCAAGAGAAUGUCCGUGAAAUUCAGACCAUUCUGA
This 55-nucleotide transfer RNA is filed under the name Nanorana aenea (keel-backed frog). RNAcentral describes it as "tRNA-Val". The record is from RNAcentral. Lineage: Eukaryota; Metazoa; Chordata; Amphibia; Anura; Dicroglossidae.